GACGAACGCUGGCGGCGUGCCUAAUACAUGCAAGUAGAACGCACAGUUUAUACCGUAGCUUGCUACACCAUACACUGUGAGUUGCGAACGGGUGAGUAACGCGUAGGUAACCUGCCUGGUAGCGGGGGAUAACUAUUGGAAACGAUAGCUAAUACCGCAUAAUAUUAAUUAUUGCAUGAUAAUUGAUUGAAAGAUGCAAUUGCAUCACUACCAGAUGGACCUGCGUUGUAUUAGCUAGUAGGUGAGGUAACGGCUCACCUAGGCGACGAUACAUAGCCGACCUGAGAGGGUGAUCGGCCACACUGGGACUGAGACACGGCCCAGACUCCUACGGGAGGCAGCAGUAGGGAAUCUUCGGCAAUAGACGAAAGUCUGACCGAGCAACGCCGCGUGAGUGAAGAAGGGUUUCGGAUCGUAAAGCUCUGUUGUAAGAGAAGAACGGGUGUGAGAGUGGAAAGUUCACACUGUGACGGUAUCUUACCAGAAAGGGACGGCUAACUACGUG
Molecule: ribosomal RNA, 505 nt
Filed under: uncultured bacterium
Lineage: Bacteria
Description: partial 16S ribosomal RNA
Rfam family: Bacterial small subunit ribosomal RNA
Source: RNAcentral